CCUACGGGGGGCAGCAGUGAGGAAUAUUGGUCAAUGGACGAGAGUCUGAACCAGCCAAGUAGCGUGAAGGAUGACUGCCCUAUGGGUUGUAAACUUCUUUUAUAUGGGAAUAAAACGUUCCACGUGUGGGAUUUUGUAUGUACCAUAUGAAUAAGGAUCGUCUAACUCCGUGCCAGCAGCCGCGGUAAUACGGAGGAUCCGAGCGUUAUCCGGAUUUAUUGGGUUUAAAGGGAGCGUAGGUGGAUUGUUAAGUCAGUUGUGAAAGUUUGCGGCUCAACCGUAAAAGUGCAGUUGAAACUGGCAGUCUUGAGUACAGUAGAGGUGGGCGGAAUUCGUGGUGUAGCGGUGAAAUGCUUAGAUAUCACGAAGAACUCCGAUUGCGAAGGCAGUUCACUGGACUGCAACUGACACUGAGGCUCGAAAGUGUGGGUAUCAAACAGGAUUAGAUACCCUUGUAGUC
Molecule: ribosomal RNA, 460 nt
Filed under: uncultured bacterium
Lineage: Bacteria
Description: partial 16S ribosomal RNA
Rfam family: Bacterial small subunit ribosomal RNA
Source: RNAcentral